Molecule: ribosomal RNA, 2988 nt
Filed under: Triticum aestivum (bread wheat)
Lineage: Eukaryota; Viridiplantae; Streptophyta; Magnoliopsida; Poales; Poaceae
Description: partial small subunit ribosomal RNA
Source: RNAcentral
GAGUCAGCCAGACAGGCACAGCGGUCCACGCUUCUCCCGUCCGAUUUCCACCACGCCAGCGACCCGCCGCCGCGGAGAUCGCUCGCUCGCUGUCGUCGUCGGCGGCGGUGGCGGCCAGGAGAUCUCCCCGCUCCUCUCCCUCCCUUCGCCCCCGAGAGGCGCUCGGCUCAGGAAUUUUUGGUUGAUUUAAGAUGGACAGGGCUAGGAAUUUUAUACCUGGCCCUAAUCAGGAGCUUCUGGAUAUCAAGCCAAUAAGGUCUUUAGCUCCAAUGUUCCCUGCACCCAUGGGAGUCAACAUUAACCAGUCAAGCACCCCACCGUUGGUCUGUGUGACUCCUGUUGGCCAGUUUCCUACAGGAUUUGGUGGUGGAAACCUUCCUGCCUUUGGAUCAUUCGCCACCUUCAAUGCUACCGUGAAUGGUUUUUCGCAAGCAGGCACAAGUGCUAAUGGGGCCAUUGAUGCUACUCCUAUCUCAGCAUACAAGACGAGAUCUGGGGCUACAGCACUUGGUGACGAUGAACCUUAUUCGGGUAAUCAGACUUCAGCAUCUGGACGCAAGGCUAAGAAGAGGUCAGCUGGUUUGUCUGCUGACAGCUCAGAUGGAGUUAAGGCCAAGCGCCCUAAGCCUGUCUACAAGAAUCUUGUUGCUGGCAAGGAGCUUGCUUUCUUGCCAGCUUCACCAAAUAAUCCUAGGGAGAUUGUGGAAGCAGUUCAUAUGACCUUCGAGGCACUCAGACGUAGACAUCUUCAGAUGGAUGAAACACAGGACGCUAGCAGACGUGCAGACCUGAAAGCUGGCGCCAUCAUGAUGGCCAGUAAUAUCAGGGCGAAUGUGGGGAAGAGGGUAGGGACUGCUCCUGGAGUUGAAAUAGGGGAUAUUUUCUAUUUCAGGAUGGAGCUAUGCAUCAUUGGGCUGCAUGCUCCUAGCAUGGGUGGCAUUGAUUACAUGAGUGCUAAAUUUGGAGCUGAUGAGGAUUCUGUAGCAAUAUGUAUUGUUGCAGCAGGUGGUUAUGAGAACGAGGAUGAUGACACAGAUACACUGGUGUACAGUGGUUCAGGGGGUAACAGUAGGAAUACCGAGGAGAGGCAUGACCAGAAGCUUGAGAGGGGCAACCUUGCUCUCGAGAGGAGUAUGCACAGGAAGAAUGAGAUAAGGGUUGUGCGGGGAUUCAAAGAUCCAGCUAUGGUAGCUGGCAAAAUCUACAUAUAUGAUGGCCUUUAUAAGAUCCAAGAGUCCUGGACGGAGAGAACAAAAUUUGGCGUCAAUUGCUUCAAGUACAGGUUGCAGCGUGAACCUGGACAGCGUGAUGGAGCUGCAAUAUGGAAGAUGACUCAGCGAUGGAUACAAGAUCCAUCGACAAGAGGCAGGGUUAUACUACGUGACCUAUCAUCUGGGACUGAAUCGAUCCCAGUGUGUCUCGUCAAUGAGGUAGACCAUGAGAAAGGACCUGGGCAGUUCACCUAUACUAAUCAGGUCAAAUACUUGAGACCCGUCAGUUCCAUGACACCCAUGCAGGGUUGUGGUUGCCAGAGUGUUUGCCUACCUGGUGAUGCCAACUGUGCUUGUGGGCAACAUAACGGAGGUGAUCUACCGUACAGCUCAUCAGGAGUGUUGGUGUGCCGCAAGCCAAUAGUAUAUGAAUGUGGUGAAGCUUGCCAUUGUACCCUGAAUUGUCGGAACAGAGUGAGCCAAAAAGGGAUCAGGUUCCACUUUGAGGUCUUCAGGACGGCAAAUCGAGGCUGGGGUCUUCGCUGUUGGGAGCCUAUUCGUGCUGGUGCAUUUAUUUGUGAGUAUACUGGGGAGGUCAUCGAUGAGCUUAAAGUUAACUUGGAUGACAGUGAAGAUGAUUACAUUUUUCAGACUGUGUGCCCUGGUGAGAAGACGCUAAAAUGGAAUUUCGGGCCUGAGCUUAUAGGUGAGCAAAGCACGUACGUAUCAGCUGAGGAAUUUCAGCCACUGCCCAUCAAGAUAAGUGCAAAAAAGAUGGGAAAUGUCUCGCGUUUCAUGAACCACAGUUGCUCCCCAAACGUCUUCUGGCAGCCAGUGCAGUACAACCAUGGAGACGACAAGCACCCACACAUAAUGUUUUUCGCACUUAAUCACAUCGCUCCCAUGACAGAGUUAACCUAUGACUAUGGUGUGGUUGGAGAAGAGACCAGUCAUAGAGCCAAGACCUGCCUGUGUGGAUCAUUAACCUGUCGUGGGUUAUUUUGAUGUACAUUGUGGUGGAUCAACAUGCAAGCCAAUAAGCUAGAUGUUUCUGGUGCUACCUAGAUUGUACCUAUGUUGUGGCAUUGGUUUCUGCGAAGAUGGCGCCGUUUCUGGAGUGAGAAGACAGUAAAUUAUCUUGGAGCUGAGACAGAAUGCCCAUUGCCUCGCCAUUUGUUCAGAUACUUCUGGAUGAUUGCGUGUAUUGAUUUGUCUGAUCGAGAGCGGUCUAUCGAAGGAGAUGCUCAUGGGACAAGGAGAGGUGUAGGCGAUGGAAGACAAGUUUGAUGAGUUAAUCAAUGCCAAGGAGUUGGCGGCUCAAUAGAUGCAAACCAAAAAGGAGUUGGCGGAGAAGACGCAACGAGAGAAAUUGGCGCGAUGGGGAUAAUGAACGAAAAAUAAAAGACUGCAAGAGAUGGAGGGUGUAAGUUUCAACUUCAGGACGAUCAAUCGAUGCAAAAGAGAACCGUUUCAUAAUGUUGGAUCCAAAAACCACGGAGGAUAAUAAGGCGAGACCAUUUUUGGGAGGUGGGGCAAUUGAAGAUCAUUGCUUCUAUGAUGCCAUGGAGAUGCAAACACACGUGAGGAGGGAGCGUCGUACACUUGGGAGAAGGCAAAUGGUGCCGACGACAUGUGACUUUCCAUGGCGGUUGGAUGUGUGCAUGAUGAUUCCUUUUGGUUGAAUCUUGGUGUUGCAUAAUGCUUCAUCUUUUGUUCAUGCAUUUGGAACCUAUGUUAUGUUUAAACUUGAAUUUGAAACUUGAAAAAUAUGGUUUGG